GCGGAGGGAUCAUUAAAGAGUUCUAUAACUCCCAAACCCAUGUGAACAUACCUAACGUUGCCUCGGCAGGUCGCACCUACCUUGUAGCACCCUACCCUGUAGGGCCUACCCGGGAGGUGCGGGUAAGCCUGCCGGCGGCCCACCAAACUCUGUUUGAUAUUGAAUUCUGAACCUAUAACUAAAUAAGUUAAAACUUUCAACAACGGAUCUCUUGGUUCUGGCAUCGAUGAAGAACGCAGCGAAAUGCGAUAAGUAAUGUGAAUUGCAGAAUUCAGUGAAUCAUCGAAUCUUUGAACGCAUAUUGCGCCCAUUAGUAUUCUAGUGGGCAGGACCGUUCGAGCGUCAUUUCAACCCUUAAGCCUUCGUUGCUUAGUGUUGGGAGCCUACGGCAACGUAGCUCCUCAAAGUUAGUGGCGGAGUUGGUUCACACUCUAGACGUAGUAAUUUUUUAUCUCGCCUAUUAGUUGGACUAAUCCCCUGCCGUAAAACCCCCAAUUUAUCAAGGUUGACCUCGAAUCGGUUCAGACAAACUCGCUAAAUUGAAGCAUCUUAGUCAGCGAAGGAAAAGAAACCAACAGGGAUUGCCCUAGUAACGGCGA
Molecule: ribosomal RNA, 599 nt
Filed under: fungal endophyte
Lineage: Eukaryota; Fungi
Description: eukaryotic LSU rRNA
Rfam family: 5.8S ribosomal RNA (bases 192-345)
Source: RNAcentral